UGGGGCCCGUUGUGGGGCUCCUGGCACAAAGGGUUCAACAAGGGAGCCAUCCUGAGAUGUGCGUGUGAGCAGGGAACUAAGAGUUUUGUGGCCAAUGCUAUGUGGGAGCCUGCCACACUGCUCGAGUCAUGGUAAGUGGACAGCGAUCCUUUCCUUUUUUUCUGGCAUGGGUCAGGCAUUAAGUGAUCAUAAAUGCUUUGUGUCAGGUUUAAGUAAAGCUUUAAAGACAAGAGGGACAAAGGCUAAAGAAAAAGAUUUAUUGCAGUACUUUCAAUUUAUUCAUAAGGUUUGUCCUU
Cavia porcellus (domestic guinea pig) is the source of this 296-nucleotide regulatory RNA element. It matches the Rfam family "Mason-Pfizer monkey virus packaging signal". Rfam says of the family: The packaging signal is located in the 5' UTR and is required for specific RNA encapsidation. The record is from Rfam. Lineage: Eukaryota; Metazoa; Chordata; Mammalia; Rodentia; Caviidae.